AUCAGCUGGUGCAGGGUACGGUGGCCCAGCAGUCCAAAUCACAGAUCGUGACCAAGGAAGUAUGCGGGUUGGAAAAUGAGCAGACCCUUGGAGGUCUUGAUGUGUUAGCCAAUAUGGUUUCAACUGAUCUCCUGCUCCUGAGUAUCUGGGACUACAGGUGUGGACCACCAUGCUCAUUCUCUGAAGAUUCGCUGGCUGCUUCGCAAGCGCAAGGACUGGAGUUCAAUCCCCAGUACCAAAGAAAAAAAACCAAAAAAUCAAAAGAAAAUGGGAAAAAAGCUGAAGCCAUAUUACUGACAAUCAAAUGCUCUUUGUUGGAAGUGUUAGGAGAUGGACAAUGUCUUCAUGUAAAAGUUACUGGGUACUGAUGUCUUCUGAAAGCAAGUUGUACCUUGGGAUGUGUUACCACAUAGACUAAGGGUUGCAUCCAUGCGCAUGUAUGUGGUGCUGGGGAUGGAACCCAGUGCCUUGCACAUGCCAGGCAAGUGCUCUACCACUGAGCUACACCUCAGCCCCCGUGUUGGCAACAAGUAAUUGUUGGAAAAAUCCAUGUGUCAAGGAACUGAAGGGUAUUAUCAAGCAGGAAACUGAGGCUUUCAGCCCAACAGUCUUUGAGGAAUCAAAAUCUGCCAGUUAUGAGAUGACCUUGGAAGUGGACCCUGCCUUUGUCAAGCCUUUUGAUGAGGCCCCGGCCCUAGAUGACAUCUUGAUUGCAGCCUUGUGAGAGACCAUGAAGAAGAGCACCCAGCCAAACUAUGCUUAGAUUUCUGACUAUGACCAUAAAAAAUUAUGGUUGUCAGCCACCAAAUUUG
This is a long non-coding RNA of Heterocephalus glaber (naked mole-rat), 812 nucleotides long. The record is from Ensembl. NCBI's taxonomy places the organism in Eukaryota, Metazoa, Chordata, Mammalia, Rodentia, Bathyergidae.